Molecule: ribosomal RNA, 660 nt
Filed under: uncultured bacterium
Lineage: Bacteria
Description: bacterial SSU rRNA
Rfam family: Bacterial small subunit ribosomal RNA
Source: RNAcentral
AGUGGCGGACGGGUGAGUAACGCGUGAGAAUCUGCCUUGGGGUCGGGGACAACCACUGGAAACGGUGGCUAAUACCGGAUAAGCCGAUUGGUGAAAGAUUUAUUGCCCGAAGAGGAGCUCGCGUCUGAUUAGCUAGUUGGUGAGGUAAGAGCUCACCAAGGCAGCGAUCAGUAGCUGGUCUGAGAGGACGAUCAGCCACACUGGGACUGAGACACGGCCCAGACUCCUACGGGAGGCAGCAGUGGGGAAUUUUCCGCAAUGGGCGAAAGCCUGACGGAGCAAGGCCGCGUGAGGGAGGAAGGCUCUUGGGUUGUAAACCUCUUUUCUCAGGGAAGAAGCUCUGACGGUACCUGAGGAAUCAGCCUCGGCUAACUCCGUGCCAGCAGCCGCGGUAAUACGGAGGAGGCAAGCGUUAUCCGGAAUUAUUGGGCGUAAAGCGUCCGCAGGUGGCGAUUCAAGUCUGCUGUCAAAGCACGGGGCUUAACUCCGUAAAGGCAGUGGAAACUGAAUAGCUAGAGUGCCGUAGGGGUAGAGGGAAUUCCCGGUGUAGCGGUGAAAUGCGUAGAGAUCGGGAAGAACAUCGGUGGCGAAAGCGCUCUACUGGACGGCAACUGACACUCAGGGACGAAAGCUAGGGGAGCGAAUGGGAUUAGAUACCCC